GGAAGUUAAAAAGUUGUUUCUUAACUUUUAACUAAAAAAGCUAAGAACCGGUUUUUAAAUAAAGACUUUAAGAACCGAUUCUUAAUUUUUUAGUUAAAAGUUAAAAAACAGUUUUUUAAUUUUC
Molecule: microRNA precursor, 124 nt
Filed under: Brassica napus (rape)
Lineage: Eukaryota; Viridiplantae; Streptophyta; Magnoliopsida; Brassicales; Brassicaceae
Description: MIR9563 microRNA precursor family
Rfam family: MIR9563 microRNA precursor family
Source: Rfam by way of RNAcentral